GUAACACGUGGAUAACCUACCUAUAAGACUGGGAUAACUUCGGGAAACCGGAGCUAAUACCGGAUAAUAUUUUGAACCGCAUGGUUCAAAAGUGAAAGACGGUCUUGCUGUCACUUAUAGAUGGAUCCGCGCUGCAUUAGCUAGUUGGUAAGGUAACGGCUUACCAAGGCAACGAUGCAUAGCCGACCUGAGAGGGUGAUCGGCCACACUGGAACUGAGACACGGUCCAGACUCCUACGGGAGGCAGCAGUAGGGAAUCUUCCGCAAUGGGCGAAAGCCUGACGGAGCAACGCCGCGUGAGUGAUGAAGGUCUUCGGAUCGUAAAACUCUGUUAUUAGGGAAGAACAUAUGUGUAAGUAACUGUGCACAUCUUGACGGUACCUAAUCAGAAAGCCACGGCUAACUACGUGCCAGCAGCCGCGGUAAUACGUAGGUGGCAAGCGUUAUCCGGAAUUAUUGGGCGUAAAGCGCGCGUAGGCGGUAAGUCUGAUGUGAAAGCCCACGGCUCAACCGUGGAGGGUCAUUGGAAA
RNAcentral lists this ribosomal RNA (530 nucleotides) under Staphylococcus aureus. RNAcentral describes it as "bacterial SSU rRNA". It matches the Rfam family "Bacterial small subunit ribosomal RNA", at positions 110 to 632 of the family's 1533-position model. The record is from RNAcentral. Lineage: Bacteria; Bacillati; Bacillota; Bacilli; Caryophanales; Staphylococcaceae.